This 252-nucleotide ribosomal RNA is filed under the name uncultured prokaryote. Its description in RNAcentral is "partial 16S ribosomal RNA". It matches the Rfam family "Bacterial small subunit ribosomal RNA", at positions 525 to 775 of the family's 1533-position model. The record is from RNAcentral.
ACGUAGGAGGCGAGCGUUAUCAGGAUUUACUGGGCGUAAAGCGCGUGCGGGCGGUGCGAUAAGUCGUGCGUGAAAGCUCCCAGGCUUAACCGGGAGAGGACGUGCGGAACUGCUGAACUGGAGGCAGGUAGAGGCGUGUGGAAUUCCGGGUGUAGUGGUGAAAUGCGUAGAGAUCCGGAGGAACACCGGUGGCGAAGGCGACGCGCUGGGCCUGGCCUGACGCUAAGACGCGAAAGCAUGGGGAGCGAACGG